Molecule: long non-coding RNA, 2004 nt
Organism: Musa acuminata AAA Group (dessert banana)
Lineage: Eukaryota; Viridiplantae; Streptophyta; Magnoliopsida; Zingiberales; Musaceae
Exons: 2
Source: RefSeq, a predicted model, not a curated record
UGGUCUAAGGAGAAGGGGGCGGGGUACGCGUACAUGGCGAUCCUAGUGCACCCCAUGGUAGCCCGCCGCCUUCCGCUCCCCCCACGCGUCGCCGUCCGCCGCCUAACCCACACGAAAACAACCGUCGUCACGACAGAGGCACCUACCAGGGAACAUCAUCUUCUAAUUGGUGGAAAGAUGUGGGACUCGGAGGUACCACCACUGGGAGUCGAUCGAAAUGGGCUAGUUCGACCAUGGUGGUAGACCGAAAGCUACAUGGUUCGCAUCUGCCUACAUCUCGCCGUCAUCACCAUCACCCAGGCGAUGUGCACCCACCAUCACCAUUAUUAAUUGGGUGGUGCGUGACACAUCCGCCCCAUAAGGAUGAUGAUGCGCCGUUACCCAUACUUACCGUCCACACAGCUCCCUUGUAGGGCGAAGCUCGCAUCUAAAUUACAUAAUAUAUGGCGCUAUUCGUGCCACGCUGCCCUGCUCUGCUUACACAGGAAGUAAGCAGAGGGACCACGCAGCCAUAGUUGCCAUUUCCAUUUGGAAAUUCAACCCCUCUUCCUGUGCUUCUCUUACAGCUAUGUAUAUGCACACUGCUCUCUUUCUCUCUCUCAAUCUGGUCUUUUUCUGUUCUCUCUCUGUGACUUAUGAGCUGCUGCUAUAUAUAAAAAGAGGGAGGGAGAGAGUAACCGCACCUCCGCACCUCGUCCCAACUACUGACCGAACCCCAUACCUUACCCUUCCCAUCUCUUAUCUCUCAACCCACCAUUGAUGCCCUUCAAUUCAUGCCAACUACUCUUUUCUGAAGAAAGAGAGAAGUUCCAUUGCCAUCACUUACUUCUCCUACUUGGGAAAGACAUACAUAUCUGAAGACACAAGCUGCAGCGGCGUGUUUCUGUUUGUUCUUCUUUUGCUUGCUGCAUACUAAGUGAUCGAGCAUAGUGAGAGGACAAAGGGAGAAACACUGCAGCGGGGUCCUCCACGCCCUGUUGUAUACGUGACGGAGUUCACGGGUGGAAGGGAUCACGGACCCCACGCGCGAUGGGUGAGACCGCGGAGACUUGUAUGACCAUGAGGUUCCUCUUCAGAGACGACGACGUCUCGGAUCACUUAUGACCGUUGGCGAAUGAUACGGGACCCAUACGACCAACAUGUGGAUCCCAUCGACGCUGGCUUAAGGCGUUAACCGGGUGAACAUUUGCGGUCGGUCGGCAGAACAAGUGUUUCACGUCUGCGGAGACACUAGGCAGCGAAUGCCGUGUCGACCACAAGGUUCACGUUCAGAGACGUAUCACGUCUGUCGGAGAACAAGCCUUUGCUCACGUCGCUAUCGCUGUCGCAGUCACCAUCACUUCACGGAUGGGCUUUGAGAGGAAGUGCGUCCACCGAGUGUCUAUAAAAUGGUUCUCUGCAAGACCGACUAUGGCCAAAUGAAAUAGUACUCGGUGAGAUAUGACUAAGGAUUUGAUACGGAACAGUUCUCCAUCGGAAGCCUAGCGGGGAGGGAUUCGGGUUGCACCAGCAGGCACAAGACCAGCCAUCGGAAACCUAGCAGCGGCGUCGAGGAAGCCUCGGCCUCGAGGCUCUUCCACGGCAAGCGCAAGCGCCACCGCGGCGGCCUCCGGCGGCGGCAGGGUGCACCGGUGCUCGGUGUGCCUGAAGACGUUUCCAUUGGGGCAAGCGCUGGGGGGCACAAGAGGUGCCACAACGACGGGAACGUCGGCAGCGGCACUACCCCGGCGGCGAUGACGUCGUCGGAGGGGGCGAGCUCAACUACCCCGGCGGCGAACAUCAUCUCAGAAUUUUCGGAGCCCAACUAACCUUCUUUUAUUGGCUUUGGAUAAAUCAGAUCAUAGAUCUCUCAUGUUUGAGGGAUAUAUAUCGAAUAUUUUGCUAACUUGAGCUAUCUCAUCAAAAUUAUUUUUGGUUUACUUUGACACGAGAAAGAUAUCUUACAUAUGCUUUCAAAUAUGUCAAAUGUAAGUUCUCAUCAUUAAUGAUAAAACACACAUCAAA